ACCUCUGCAAUAGGCGAAAGCCUGACAGGGUUACUCUGAGUGACUUUCGCUAAGAAAGUCUUUUGACACCUCUAAAAAUGGUGUAGAAUAAGGGGUGGGCAAGUCUGGUGUCAGCCGCCGCGGUAAUACCAGCACCCCGAGUGGUCGGGACGAUUAUUGGGCCUAAAGCAUCCGUAGCCGGUUUUACAAGUCCUCCGUUAAAUCCAACUGCUUAACAGAUGGGCCGCGGAGGAUACUAUAAGACUAGGAGGCAGGAGAGGCAAGCGGUACUCAGUGGGUAGGGGUAAAAUCCGUUGAUCCAUUGAAGACCACCAGUGGCGAAGGCGGCUUGCCAGAAUGCGCUCGACGGUGAGGGAUGAAAGCUGGGGGAGCAAACCGGAUUAGAUACCCGGGUAGUCCCAGCUGUAAACGAUGCAGACUCGGUGAUGGACUAGCUUAAUGCUAGUCCAGUGCCGCAGGGAAGCCGUUAAGUCUGCCGCCUGGGUAGUACGGUCGCAAGACUGAAACUUAA
This 511-nucleotide ribosomal RNA is filed under the name uncultured archaeon. RNAcentral's name for it is "bacterial SSU rRNA". It matches the Rfam family "Archaeal small subunit ribosomal RNA", at positions 346 to 859 of the family's 1478-position model. The record is from RNAcentral.